GUUCGAACGAACUUCUGGUAUUGAUUGGUGCUUGCAUUCAUGAUUUACAUCUUGAGUGAGUGGCGAACUUGGUGAGUAACACGUGGGAAACCUGCCCAGAAGCGGGGGAUAACACCUGGAAACAGAUGCUAAUACCGCAUAACAACUUGGACCGCAUGGUCCGAGUUUGAAAGAUGGCUUCGGCUAUCACUUUUGGAUGGUCCCGCGGCGUAUUAGCUAGAUGGUGGGGUAACGGCUCACCAUGGCAAUGAUACGUAGCCGACCUGAGAGGGUAAUCGGCCACAUUGGGACUGAGACACGGCCCAAACUCCUACGGGAGGCAGCAGUAGGGAAUCUUCCACAAUGGACGAAAGUCUGAUGGAGCAACGCCGCGUGAGUGAAGAAGGGUUUCGGCUCGUAAAACUCUGUUGUUAAAGAAGAACAUAUCUGAGAGUAACUGUUCAGGUAUUGACGGUAUUUAACCAGAAAGCCACGGCUAACUACGUGCCAGCAGCCGCGGUAAUACGUAGGUGGCAAGCGUUGUCCGGAUUUAUUGGGCGUAAAGCGAGCGCAGGCGGUUUUUUAAGUCUGAUGUGAAAGCCUUCGGCUCAACCGAAGAAGUGCAUCGGAAACUGGGAAACUUGAGUGCAGAAGAGGACAGUGGAACUCCAUGUGUAGCGGUGAAAUGCGUAGAUAUAUGGAAGAACACCAGUGGCGAAAGCGGCUGUCUGGUCUGUAACUGACGCUGAGGCUCGAAAGUAUGGGUAGCAACAGGAUUAGAUACCCUGGUAGUCCAUACCGUAACGAUGAUGCUAAGUGUUGAGGGUUUCCGCCCUUCAGUGCUGCAGCUACGCAUUAGCAUCGCUGCGAGUACGCGCAGCUGAA
RNAcentral lists this ribosomal RNA (864 nucleotides) under Lactiplantibacillus plantarum. RNAcentral describes it as "bacterial SSU rRNA". It matches the Rfam family "Bacterial small subunit ribosomal RNA", at positions 60 to 873 of the family's 1533-position model. Lineage: Bacteria; Bacillati; Bacillota; Bacilli; Lactobacillales; Lactobacillaceae. The record is from RNAcentral.